AUUGAACGCUGGCGGCAUGCCUUACACAUGCAAGUCGAACGGUAACAGGUCUUCGGAUGCUGACGAGUGGCGAACGGGUGAGUAAUACAUCGGAACGUGCCCAAUCGUGGGGGAUAACGCAGCGAAAGCUGUGCUAAUACCGCAUAAGAUCUACGGAUGAAAGCGGGGGAUCGCAAGACCUCGCGCGAGUGGAGCGGCCGAUGGCAGAUUAGGUAGUUGGUGAGGUAAAGGCUCACCAAGCCUGCGAUCUGUAGCUGGUCUGAGAGGACGACCAGCCACACUGGAACUGAGACACGGUCCAGACUCCUACGGGAGGCAGCAGUGGGGAAUUUUGGACAAUGGGCGCAAGCCUGAUCCAGCAAUGCCGCGUGCAGGAUGAAGGCCUUCGGUUGUAAC
Molecule: ribosomal RNA, 396 nt
Filed under: uncultured bacterium
Lineage: Bacteria
Description: bacterial SSU rRNA
Rfam family: Bacterial small subunit ribosomal RNA
Source: RNAcentral